AGUGAACGCUGGCGGUAGGCCUAACACAUGCAAGUCGAACGGCAGCACAGUAAGAGCUUGCUCUUACGGGUGGCGAGUGGCGGACGAGUGAGGAAUACAUCGGAAUCUACUUUUUCGUGGGGGAUAACGUAGGGAAACUUACGCUAAUACCGCAUGCGACCUACGGGUGAAAGCAGGGGAUCUUCGGACCUUGCGCGAUUGAAUGAGCCGAUGUCGGAUUAGCUAGUUGGCGGGGUAAAGGCCCACCAAGGCGACGAUCCGUAGCUGGUCUGAGAGGAUGAUCAGCCACACUGGAACUGAGACACGGUCCAGACUCCUACGGGAGGCAGCAGUGGGGAAUAUUGGACAAUGGGCGCAAGCCUGAUCCAGCCAUACCGCGUGGGUGAAGAAGGCCUUCGGGUUGUAAAGCCCUUUUGUUGGGAAAGAAAAGCAGCAGGUUAAUACCCCGCUGUUCUGACGGUACCCAAAGAAUAAGCACCGGCUAACUUCGUG
RNAcentral lists this ribosomal RNA (492 nucleotides) under uncultured bacterium. RNAcentral's name for it is "partial 16S ribosomal RNA". It matches the Rfam family "Bacterial small subunit ribosomal RNA", at positions 29 to 507 of the family's 1533-position model. The record is from RNAcentral.